UGGGGAAUCUUCCGCAAUGGACGAAAGUCUGACGGAGCAACGCCGCGUGAGUGAUGACGGCCUUCGGGUUGUAAAGCCCUGUUAAUCGGGACGAAUGGCUCUUGUGCGAAUAGUGCGAGGAUUUGACGGUACCGGAAUAGAAAGCCACGGCUAACUACGUGCCAGCAGCCGCGGUAAUACGUAGGUGGCAAGCGUUGUCCGGAAUUAUUGGGCGUAAAGCGCGCGCAGGCGGAUUGGUCAGUCUGUCUUAAAAGUUCGGGGCUUAACCCCGUGAUGGGGUGGAAACUGCCAAUCUAGAGUAUCGGAGAGGAAAGUGGAAUUCCUAGUGUAGCGGUGAAAUGCGUAGAUAUUAGGAAGAACACCAGUGGCGAAGGCGACUUUCUGGACGAAAACUGACGCUGGGGCGCGAAAGCCAGGGGAGCGAACGGG
This 429-nucleotide ribosomal RNA is filed under the name bacterium. RNAcentral's name for it is "partial 16S ribosomal RNA". It matches the Rfam family "Bacterial small subunit ribosomal RNA", at positions 355 to 776 of the family's 1533-position model. The record is from RNAcentral.